Castor canadensis (American beaver) is the source of this 1461-nucleotide non-coding RNA. The record is from RefSeq and is a predicted model, not a curated record. NCBI's taxonomy places the organism in Eukaryota, Metazoa, Chordata, Mammalia, Rodentia, Castoridae.
CCCACCCCGCCCGCACCGCCGGGACCCGGCCGCCUGGCGCGAGUCCCCGUCCGGGCCUGGCUUGGCCCCAGCUUGGAGCGGCCGCGGCCGGCCCGGCGGCGCUGCGGUCUGAGAGUCCAUGCUGUGAUUCUCAAUGGAGAGUGAAAGCACAGAUUCAUGAUGAAAACCAGCCCCCGUCGGCCACUGAUUCUCAAAAGACGGAGGCUGCCUCUUCCUGUUCAAAAUGCCCUGGGUGAGACAUCAGAGGAGGAACCUAAAAGACCCCCUGCCCAACAGGAGCCUAGUCAAGCACAGGCCUCCAAGGAGGUGGCAGAGACCAGCUCUUGCAAGUUUCCAACUGGGAUCAAGAUUAUCAACCACCCCACCAUGCCCAGCACACAGGUGGUGGUCAUCCCCAACAAUGCCGACAUCCAGAGCAUUAUCACAGCAUUGACUGCCAAAGGAAAAGAGAGUGGCAGCAGCGGACCCAACAAAUUCAUCCUCAUCAGCUGUGGAGGACCCCCAGCUCAUCCUCCUGCCCUCCAGCCUCAAGUUCAAAGCAGCGAUGAUUCCAAAAGGACAGAAGUGAUCACCGAGACGUUGGGCCUUAAGCCUGCAGCUAGGGAUGUGAAUGUUUCUAAGUCACCUGGAGCCCCUCCAAGGCAGAGACGGGAGAACUGUGCUGGGGCUGAGGCAGUGGGCUGCAGUCUGGACAACAGCCUAACCAAUAUCCAGUGGCUUGGGAAGAUGAGUUCUGACGGGCUGGGCUCCUGCAGCAUCAAGCAAGAGGUGGAGGAAAAAGAGAACUGCCACCUGGAGCAGACUAAGGUUAAGGUUGAGGAGCCCUCGGGAACAUCAACGUCCUGGCAGGACUCUAUGUCUGAGAGGCCACCCUACUCUUACAUGGCCAUGAUACAGUUUGCCAUCAACAGCACUGAGAGGAAGCGCAUGACCUUGAAGGACAUCUAUACUUGGAUUGAAGACCACUUCCCCUAUUUUAAACACAUUGCCAAGCCAGGCUGGAAGAAUUCCAUUCGCCACAAUCUUUCUCUCCAUGACAUGUUUGUUCGGGAGACAUCUGCCAACGGCAAGGUCUCCUUCUGGAUCAUUCAUCCCAGCGCCAAUCGCUACUUAACGUUGGACCAGGUGUUCAAGCAGCAGAAACGACCCAAUCCUGAGCUCCGCCGGAACGUCACCCUCAAAACGGAACUCCCACUGGGUGCACGACGGAAGAUGAAGCCACUGCUACCACGGGUCAGCUCGUACCUAGUGCCCAUCCAAUUUCCAGUGAACCAGUCCCUGGUGCUGCAGCCCUCAGUGAAAGUGCCAUUGCCCCUCGCGGCUUCACUCAUGAGCUCAGAGCUUGCCCGCCAUAGCAAGCGGGUCCGCAUUGCCCCCAAGGUGAGCAUUCUCUUUUUCUGCAAAGAGAGACUCCAGACAAUUAAAAAUGAUGGACCUACAGCUUGUGAAAUAUUCUUCUAA